Molecule: long non-coding RNA, 385 nt
Filed under: Danio rerio (zebrafish)
Lineage: Eukaryota; Metazoa; Chordata; Actinopteri; Cypriniformes; Danionidae
Description: lncRNA si:dkey-207j16.11 (ENSDARG00000097175.2)
Source: RNAcentral
UGUUGCUAUGAUAAUAAGUCUCAGAUCAGUUUUGAAGAACGAAACGAUCCUGGAUCAUAUCAAAUCGUCAAUAACCAAAUCCAGCUAACUGAGUAAUCCACGUACGAAGAACGGACCCCUGGAAAACACAUGGAACAUUAGAGAAAACAUAAAUUGUCCUGGAAAACAAGUUUCAUUGGCAGAGAAAAGCAUGAGUUUUAAAUGUUUAUGUUCUUUAAAGAGCAGUUUAAAGUUGGCACAUUAACUUCCAUUUUGAUAAUCACAGUUUUACCGUAAAUACGGUUAAAUUCUAGUUGGUGUUGCAAAUCCAUGGUUAAUUUGUGGUUCCUAUUGUCGCUGUAGUUAGACCAUUGUUUUGGCACCUUGGAUUGGAAUAACAUUUGCC